CCUAGAGUUGUAGGCUUUGCCUGCUAUCUCUUACCCAUGUCUUUUGAGCACCUUACGUUUCCUCGGCGGGUUCGCCCACCGAUUGGACAAUUUAAACCCUUUGCAGUUGCAAUCAGCGUCUGAAAAAACUUAAUAGUUA
Molecule: unclassified non-coding RNA, 139 nt
Filed under: soil metagenome
Description: partial internal transcribed spacer 1
Source: RNAcentral